UGGGUAACCUACCCAUAAGACUGGGAUAACUCCGGGAAACCGGGGCUAAUACCGGAUAAUAUUUUGAACUGCAUAGUUCGAAAUUGAAAGGCGGCUUCGGCUGUCACUUAUGGAUGGACCCGCGUCGCAUUAGCUAGUUGGUGAGGUAACGGCUCACCAAGGCAACGAUGCGUAGCCGACCUGAGAGGGUGAUCGGCCACACUGGGACUGAGACACGGCCCAGACUCCUACGGGAGGCAGCAGUAGGGAAUCUUCCGCAAUGGACGAAAGUCUGACGGAGCAACGCCGCGUGAGUGAUGAAGGCUUUCGGGUCGUAAAACUCUGUUGUUAGGGAAGAACAAGUGCUAGUUGAAUAAGCUGGCACCUUGACGGUACCUAACCAGAAAGCCACGGCUAACUACGUGCCAGCAGCCGCGGUAAUACGUAGGUGGCAAGCGUUAUCCGGAAUUAUUGGGCGUAAAGCGCGCGCAGGUGGUUUCUUAAGUCUGAUGUGAAAGCCCACGGCUCAACCGUGGAGGGUCAUUGGAAACUGGGAGACUUGAGUGCAGAAGAGGAAAGUGGAAUUCCAUGUGUAGCGGUGAAAUGCGUAGAGAUAUGGAGGAACACCAGUGGCGAAGGCGA
RNAcentral lists this ribosomal RNA (621 nucleotides) under Bacillus cereus. RNAcentral's name for it is "bacterial SSU rRNA". It matches the Rfam family "Bacterial small subunit ribosomal RNA", at positions 118 to 724 of the family's 1533-position model. The record is from RNAcentral. Lineage: Bacteria; Bacillati; Bacillota; Bacilli; Caryophanales; Bacillaceae.